Molecule: ribosomal RNA, 520 nt
Filed under: uncultured archaeon
Lineage: Archaea
Description: partial 16S ribosomal RNA
Rfam family: Archaeal small subunit ribosomal RNA
Source: RNAcentral
CCAAACCCCCCCCUGUGCAAGGGGUACCCCCAGGGGCCCCGAAAAAAGGGGGUUUUUCGGUGGUCUAAACCCCUUAGGGAAUAAGAGGGGGGCAAGAUGGGUGUCAGCUGCCCCGGUAACACCAGCCCCUCGAGUGGUGGGGAUGAUUAUUUGGCCUAAAGCGUCCGUAGCGGCCUUGUAAGUCUCCCGUUAAAUCCAGCGUCUCAAGCGUUGGACUGCGGGAGAUACUGCUCGGCUAGAGAGUGGGAGAGGUGUGCGGUAUUCUGGGGGUAGGGGCGAAAUCCUUUGAUCCCCGGAGGACCACCAGUGGCGAAGGCUGCACACUAGAACACGUCUGACGGUCAGGGACGAAAGCUGGGGUAGCGAACCGGAUUAGAUACCCGGGUAGUCCCAGCCGUAAACGAUGCAUGCUAGGUGUUGGGUCGGCCAUGAGCCGCCUCAGUGCCGCAGGGAAGCCGUUAAGCAUGCCGCCUGGGGAGUACGGCCGCAAGGCUGAAACUUAAAGGAAUUGGCGGGGGAG